Dreissena polymorpha is the source of this 1597-nucleotide long non-coding RNA. RefSeq lists it as uncharacterized. The record is from RefSeq and is a predicted model, not a curated record. The transcript has 6 exons. Lineage: Eukaryota; Metazoa; Mollusca; Bivalvia; Myida; Dreissenidae.
GCGAAAAAAUAUGAGCAAGUCUGCAAAUAUAUCUCUGCAAAUAUAUCACUACAGGAUACUAAGAACUUGCUUAUUAGAUGCUGGUUAUCUAAUGUUUAUUAAUCGACAAGCGGUGUUUUACUUUGGACUUUUUGUGUACUGCUAAAUUUAAAAUCAACAGAAACGGAUUUUAAUAAUGAAAAUAAGGUUUUAAUAUACCAAGCGCAAAUACGUAAAAUCGGAACGAAAGGAUAUUCGACGAGGAUACAGUCAUAUACGGAUUUUCUAUCCGCGCUGUCGUUUGCUUGCAGAACCAGGUUGAAACUGUCUCAGAGCGCCUUACAACUGGGUCUGAGACACGAAAGUCACGUGCGGGAUCACGUCGUCUGCUAUUCCGGUGGACCGCAGAAUGCACCUGGUGGGCAAGGUGGCGUUGGUGACGGGCGGUGCCUCGGGAAUGGGGCGUGGCUUCGCUGAGGCGCUUCUAAAAGCUGCAGCUAAGAAGGGGACCCUACGUGGACUGCGACUCGCCAUGUACUACCUCAGUGUGGAUCACGAAGGCCGCGGGGGGCUGCAUUGUCAACGUGGCCAGCAUGGCGGGUUUGAAUUCGAACCCAUUCUCGCCUGUGUACGGCUGCACGAAGGCAGGAAUCAUUCACGUUACGCGAUGUUAUGCAGUAUCCGAGGCGGCCAAGAAGUCAAACAUCCGACUCAACGUGCUGUGUCCGGCGUUCGUAGACACGCCCAUGUUUAGACGGAUGGCGGAAAGGACGCUUCCCAGACUAUCGGCGGGGACCAGACAGCGUUGAACGCGUUCAUUGAGCGCAUUUGAGUACUCAGCACAGAAGAUGUGUCGGCGGCAUUAAUUGACAUUCUCACGGAUGAAACGAGAAACGGGUUGAUUUUGCAUUGAACGCGAAGAACUUUUACAGCCCGCUUACCGUACAAGACGUGUAACAUAAUUUCACGAUCGUGUAACGGAACAAAUCGCAUACUAAACAGCGGCAGUGCAAUCGAGCAGCGGAUUUACGUACCGUUUAUGAGACAGAACCUAUUGUUGCGUACAACUGCAAAGUGGACGUGUAACAGAACAAAUGAGAUAAGAAGGCAAUUGAAAACCGGACGUAUUCAAAACAUCGGUUCUACAGUCGUUGGGGAAUAUAAUAACAUUCUGCCAUUGCUGUUAAUUUGUACAUGUGUAUAACAUUCGUGUACAGGGGAAGUCAUUCAACUUAAGCGAAUAAUGACAGCUCGCAUAUGAUGACCGUUAUGACCGCGAAAUCCAAGAUGGCGUCCAUAAAACCAGGUCACAACAUGCACUCAAAUCCAAAAACAGAAACUUGACAAGUAGGCGAGAAGGUUGAGAAGGAUCCACAUUGUUAAAGUAUUACUAUCAAUAUCUCGUUAAUUGAAAGUAAAAGCACACACUAUGUGCCAACCGGCAGGGCUGAAUAAAAUACGAGUGUUAGUUUUUAAUAUAUGAUAUAUUGUAUGUAGCCUUUGACCAUUAUUUGUGUGUUUACAGAGUUCAUGAAUUCAUAUUGUACAGAAAGAACAUAGCGUUUUAUGAAAAUCUACCGGUAUGUGCAUGUAAAAUGUAUUGAACAAAACAUAACAA